UACGGAGGGAGCUAGCGUUGUUCGGAAUUACUGGGCGUAAAGCGCACGUAGGCGGUUAUUCAAGUCAGAGGUGAAAGCCCGGGGCUCAACCCCGGAACUGCCUUUGAAACUAGAUAACUAGAAUCUUGGAGAGGUCAGUGGAAUUCCGAGUGUAGAGGUGAAAUUCGUAGAUAUUCGGAAGAACACCAGUGGCGAAGGCGACUGACUGGACAAGUAUUGACGCUGAGGUGCGAAAGCGUGGGGAGCAAACAGG
RNAcentral lists this ribosomal RNA (253 nucleotides) under uncultured Novosphingobium sp. RNAcentral describes it as "partial 16S ribosomal RNA". It matches the Rfam family "Bacterial small subunit ribosomal RNA", at positions 524 to 776 of the family's 1533-position model. The record is from RNAcentral. Lineage: Bacteria; Pseudomonadati; Pseudomonadota; Alphaproteobacteria; Sphingomonadales; Sphingomonadaceae.